AGACAGUUUGGUCCCUAUCUGCCGUGGGUGUACGAAGCUUGAGAGGAUCUGUCCCUAGUACGAGAGGACCGGGAUGGACACACCUCUGGUGGACCUGUCGUGGCGCCAGCCGCGCAGCAGGGUAGCUAAGUGUGGAAUAGAUAACCGCUGAAAGCAUCUAAGCGGGAAACUAACCUCAAAACAAGGCUUCGCCGAGAGCCGUGGUAGACCACCACGUUGAUAGGCCAGGUGUGGAAGUGCGGCGACGCAUGGAGCUUACUGGUACUAAUCGCUCGAUCGGCUUGAUCGUUCUU
RNAcentral lists this ribosomal RNA (293 nucleotides) under Phenylobacterium sp. SCN 70-31. Its description in RNAcentral is "partial 23S ribosomal RNA". It matches the Rfam family "Bacterial large subunit ribosomal RNA", at positions 2624 to 2925 of the family's 2925-position model. Lineage: Bacteria; Pseudomonadati; Pseudomonadota; Alphaproteobacteria; Caulobacterales; Caulobacteraceae. The record is from RNAcentral.